CCUACGGGAGGCAGCAGUAGGGAAUAUUGCUCAAUGGGGGAAACCCUGAAGCAGCAACGCCGCGUGGAGGAUGAAGGUUUUCGGAUUGUAAACUCCUUUUGUUAGAGAAGAUAAUGACGGUAUCUAACGAAUAAGCACCGGCUAACUCCGUGCCAGCAGCCGCGGUAAUACGGAGGGUGCAAGCGUUACUUGGAAUCACUGGGCGUAAAGAGCGCGUAGGCGGGAUAGCAAGUCAGAUGUGAAAACCUAUGGCUUAACCAUAGAACUGCAUUUGAAACUGUUAUUCUAGAGUAUGGGAGAGGUAGGUGGAAUUCUUGGUGUAGGGGUAAAAUGCGUAGAGAUCAAGAGGAAUACUCAUUGCGAAGGCGACCUGCUAGAACAUAACUGACGCUGAUGCGCGAAAGCGUGGGGAGCAAACAGGAUUAGAUACCCUUGUAGUC
This 440-nucleotide ribosomal RNA is filed under the name uncultured bacterium. RNAcentral describes it as "partial 16S ribosomal RNA". It matches the Rfam family "Bacterial small subunit ribosomal RNA", at positions 338 to 795 of the family's 1533-position model. The record is from RNAcentral.